GGCGGCUUCCGGGAUUAUUGGGCGUAAGAGCUCGUAGGCGGUUUGUCGCGUCUGCCGUGAAAGUCCGGGGCUCAACUCCGGAUCUGCGGUGGGUACGGGCAGACUAGAGUGAUGUAGGGGAGACUGGAAUUCCUGGUGUAGCGGUGAAAUGCGCAGAUAUCAGGAGGAACACCGAUGGCGAAGGCAGGUCUCUGGGCAUUAACUGACGCUGAGGAGCGAAAGCAUGGGGAGCGAACAGGAUUAGAUACCCUGGUAGUCCAUGCCGUAAACGUUGGGCACUAGGUGUGGGGGACAUUCCACGUUUUCCGCGCCGUAGCUAACGCAUUAAGUGCCCCGCCUGGGGAGUACGGCCGCAAGGCUAAAACUCAAAGGAAUUGACGGGGGCCCGCACAAGCGGCGGAGCAUGCGGAUUAAUUCGAUGCAACGCGAAGAACCUUACCAAGGCUUGACAUGGACCGGACCGGGCUGGAAACAGUCCUUCCCCUUUGGGGCCGGUUCACAGGUGGUGCAUGGUUGUCGUCAGCUCGUGUCGUGAGAUGUUGGGUUAAGUCCCGCAACGAGCGCAACCCUCGUUCCAUGUUGCCAGCGCGUAAUGGCGGGGACUCAUGGGAGACUGCCGGGGUCAACUCGGAGGAAGGUGGGGACGACGUCAAAUCAUCAUGCCCCUUAUGUCUUGGGCUUCACGCAUGCUACAAUGGCCGGUACAAAGGGUUGCGAUACUGUGAGGUGGAGCUAAUCCCAAAAAGCCGGUCUCAGUUCGGAUUGGGGUCUGCAACUCGACCCCAUGAAGUCGGAGUCGCUAGUAAUCGCAGAUCAGCAACGCUGCGGUGAAUACGUUCCCGGGCCUUGUACACACCGCCCGUCAAGUCACGAAAGUUGGUAACACCCGAAGCCGGUGGCCUAACCCCUUGUGGGAGGGAGCUGUCGAAGGUGGGACUGGCGAUUGGGACUAAGUCGUAACAAGGUAACC
RNAcentral lists this ribosomal RNA (970 nucleotides) under uncultured bacterium. Its description in RNAcentral is "bacterial SSU rRNA". It matches the Rfam family "Bacterial small subunit ribosomal RNA", at positions 537 to 1501 of the family's 1533-position model. The record is from RNAcentral.